Molecule: long non-coding RNA, 4297 nt
Organism: Acanthopagrus latus (yellowfin seabream)
Lineage: Eukaryota; Metazoa; Chordata; Actinopteri; Spariformes; Sparidae
Exons: 2
Source: RefSeq, a predicted model, not a curated record
GAGGGUUUCGUUUCUGCUCAGACAAAAGCACUGAGCUAAAUACCAACCAACAGAAUGAUAAUCUAUUAAAAGGAAAACACACCCUGUAGUUUGCAAGCGCGCGCACACACACACACACACACACACACACACACACACACCUCAUUAGACAUUGGACAGAUCCUCCCCUUCGGCCAAGGCCAGGUGCACAACGUACAUGACACAAAGCCCAUUCAUAAAACAUUUACUAAAGCCACCACCACGGUGUCGUAAAACAGAACCUUACAGUCCACAACUGUGUGUGCAAGUGUGUGGGUGUGUGUGUGUGUUGUGGUUAUCUGCGUUGGGAAACACCAGAGCAAGGACAGUGUGCAGCAGGGGCUUUGACGCAAGCAAUCUGAGGGGAACAUGACAUGUAUUGAUUACAACAAGUGUGUGUGGGAAAUCACAACAAACGGACAGCCAGUCGAGGAUGGGAAUGUGUGUGUGUGGUGUGUGUGACAGCACAAUAGAUAUUACUGAUGGGAAAAUAAUAUAAUUGAAUAUUUCUUUUGGACUUUUUAUGCAUACCUUAUGCAAAUAAAUGUUUUACCACAGAAACGAUGAUGAUAAACUAAACGAGAAAACAGUGUGUCAGAGGCAGAAACGUGAGUAAUAAAAAUCGCCCGGACAAGAGGCUGUAAUAAUAAAACUAAUCUUUUUAUUACUAAAUAAAGUCUAUGAGUGACUGCGCUGCUCCCCGUCUGGCCUAUCUCUGCCAUGUUUACAUGUCAGCCUAUCUCUGAUCUCAUCACAUGCAUUCCUUCCACAGCUGCUCUGUUGAAACUCUGUCACAAUAAAACAGUCCACAUGCAGGAAUACACACAUACACAACGGAAACUGCGGCUCUGUGUUUGACUUAGAGGAAAAUAAAACAUGAUAUAUGUGAGCUUAAGGAGGGCUGUUUUGUGACUGGAAAGGUUAACUAUUUAGAAACAUUUACUGCUAUAAAACUGUUCCAGACAGCUGGACAGCGUCAGGACUUCAGACAGACACAGGAGGCAGAGAGUAAUGAGAGUGAGUACUAGACACCUGUGACCUGAGCCUUCAAUCACAUCAACAGAUUAACCUCGACAUAACCUCUGCCACUGCAGGGUAAAUGGCCGCUGAUGGAAACAUGCGAACACGGCCUGCAUUUCUCCACAUUUGCAACGUCAAAGCUACAUUUUAUGCAACAAGAACAUUUCCUCCUGCUCAUUUUGAAAUGACUCGGUAGUAAUCGAACCAGAAUCAGUCCUUGUGAGCCGUGCAGACACAGACUGAUGGGGCUUGUUUUAACAAAUCCCUUUUGUGAAGAAGCCCAAGAUCACAUUCGUUAGAUUUUCUAUGGUGGGCAGCAAAAUUUCUGGAUACACUCUUUUCUUUUCAUCUCCCACAAUCUGCCCUAGCCAUCAGUGGUUCAUUUCAGUCUGGUUAAGUGGAUGACUACCAUGUGCCUUCUCAGAUUUUUGGUUCUUGGUAGUAAUUAGUUCACCAUAAUCUCCAAGUCAUUCCCUCAUGUAUCGUCCUUUCCAGGUUUACAGCAGGGCCAUCAACAAUGAAGUUUCCAACAUGUUUACAUGCGAUUUAUAAAAGAUGCUGGGCAUAAAAAAAACAAACACCUGUGAUCUUUAAACUCUCAAAUCAACUUAAAUUGACGGCAGUUGCCCUGAGAUUUGCCGUCACAUAAUGGCAUCACAAACACGGGUUUAGUCAGCAAUAGAGGUGGACCAGAGGAGAAAAUCAAACUGCUUUACUGACAAGAUCACUGCGAUGGAAGAUGAGAAUGAAGCCAAUCAAAACAUAUUAAUCCAUAGAGUAAAUAGUGGGUUGAUAAACGAAAGUCAAACAUGCAGUUUAGGAAUGUGUCUACACUGCACAUUGUUCAUAAAGCUUCCCGAAGUCUUCCCCACUCAGGAAAUUGACUCAUCCAAGGAGAAUGUGAAUGCACCAAUGAUCCUGAAGAGCAAUAGCUCCGCAUAAUCAACAAAAAAAAAAUCAACAACAAGUCUAGACAAUGAUUAGAGAUAAGAUCACUUCCAAGUUGAGGUAAGUUUUUCUGCAGAAAAAUAUCAGAUGAUGAACCUCCUUAAUCUUUAACCACAUCAAAGACAUCAAGCGCUCCACCCAAUCUGAACAGUGCAACUGUGGCCUUGGCAGAGCUGCUAUGAGGGAUAACUGUCAAGCUGUUGUCUGUAAGACAGUAUGAGGACGCUCUGAACAGGAGGCAAAACACACAUACGUACAUACUGUGAAUGUGUUCAUCUUAGUUUAUCCAUCAGUUGUUCAAGUAAUCGAUUUUCACUGACUGAGUCAACAAAAUCACUAAAUUUCCAUGACUGAAUAAACUCAAUAAACUGACAAAAGGACAACAGAAAGCACAACACAAUUUGUGUGUUUUAUUAUCACCACAUUUGAAGUUUGAAUUGAGUUUGAAUUUCUAAACUGUCCUUUUUGGGGGGUUGUGUGCAAACAUCAAUCAACAUCAAAUAGAGUCAGAUCACAUGUGACAUUAUAAACGUUCCGUGUUUAUGGAAAACUGCCAAAGAUUGUCGUCUCCUGCCUGUUGGACCAACACACUGUAGUUACUGUAAAUAGUCAAAGAUCUGUUUUAAGAAACCAUCAACACUGUAGUCUAAAAAUAAUCUCCUGAAAAAACAGUUUUGUGAUCAAAACACCAACCCAUUAGACCACAACAACCACAGGGUCUUUUGAUUUUUAAAUUAUUCGCUUCAUUUGUCCUCAUCUGACGGAGGCCUCAUGACAGAUGAAAGUCCAUGGGGGGGAAUCGACGGGAGAGGAAGGUGACACCCACACCUCCAGCCGCUCUUCUUUCACUUCGCUUAUCCAACAUGCCAUCGGGCUCUCUCACUAAUUGCUUCAAGCUGACAGCCUAAUGUGUUUCCUCUGUGGGGUCAAGUAUAUCAGACUAAAAUUACCAGUCGCAGCCAGAGCGAACGCUGCUAAUGUUCUGCUGGAGAAUGGAGGCGUAUAAGCGGAGAGUCACGACAACUUCUACAUAAAAAAAAGGCCGGACAGUUGUUUGAUUUCAAACUGAGCAAACUGUUGGUGUGCUGCUGUCUCAUCCUCUCGCUUCAGCCCACACAGGCGAGCUUUUUAAACACAGAGGUCAGCUCUCGCAGUCCAACACUCAGCAUCUCCGCGCUUUCUUUUAUAUAACUCCCGAAUAUAUAACAGAGAUCAUGUUGUCUUUCUUUGUUUGCUAUGCUUCCUCUACACUCCGCAGAGCUCUGACGCUCAUGAGUGAGCAGUCAACUUUUCAUUUUUUGGGGGGUAUUUUUAUUUCCCCCCUACAUUAAAUCAAUGGGAGGUCUUGUCUCCAAACACUUAUCCUCGAUCAAAUGCCAUUUUGUCCUCUCAGAAUUUCCUUGACUCCCAUGUUCUCAGACUUGUUGCCCUUCUUUCUAAGAUUUUGGGGUUGGAAUGCUGGGAAUGUUUCUGGUGCUUGUUACCUCUGGCGGGGUCUCUCUGUGGUUCACAGGACAACGACAACAGCCAUUCCAGAAGAACUCACCCUGACCACAACGUUGUGUCUUUACAGGCUUUCUCUUCGACCCUUCCACCAUACAUAACCCUAUUUAUUACACAUAUGAUCAAGGCAGGCUGUAAGACUGUUGAACUCUUGAACCUUCGAGCCUGAGAUCAUUAGCCCUUCUCCAAACACAUGUCCUGGCUUGGUCUGACUUGACCUGUCAGGGAUUUUCAUUUAAUUACAACAGGGUUUGUAGGUGUGCUCAACUGAUGACGUACCUCUUUACUAUUGUUUACAAGUGCACUUUCUCAGUUGUUGAUGGCCAGCUAUCUUAUCAUCAGUGAUUUAAUGGCUGGUUUCACAAUUUUGCUUAGCUCCUACAGCUUCGUACUGGGAUGGGUUGAUGAAGCAGAUCUCAAAGAGGAAAAGGAAGCGACUGCUCGUCCAUGAACACUGAUGACGGCCAUCUGAUGUCACCGAAACCUGCUUGAAGGUGGUCAGGCAUGCUUUCAGAAGAAUCAAGAGAUGGUCCAUUUAGCGCCACUCAGCAUGUUUUAACUGACAAAUGGAAUCACAAAUCAACUCUGCAGAGCCAAGAUUACAGAUAGAAAACACAACACAUUACUUGCACCUUAUUAAUACAGAUGUCACUGUAUUAUAUUUUCGUAUACAUCAUUUUCGAUUUGUGUACUUGCUUUCUUACUUUCUUUGUAAAACGUAUUCAACAUUGUUGGAGUUAGCCCGAGAAUUAAGAGAUGCAUUGCCAAAGACCACUUCACUGCAACUGUUUUGCAUCUGACAAUAAAG